AGAGUUUGAUCCUGGCUCAGAGUGAACGCUGGCGGCGUGCCUAACACAUGCAAGUCGAACGAGAACGGGAUAUAGCUUGCUAUAUUUGUCAGCUAAGUGGCGCACGGGUGAGUAAUGUAUAGAUAACCUGCCCUCAAGAAAGGAAUAACAGUUGGAAACGACUGCUAAUGCCCUAUAUGCCCAUAAUACAUAAGUAUGCUGGGGAAACGCUUUUGUGCUUGAGGAUGGGUCUGUAUUGUAUCAGUUAGUUGGUGAGGUAAUGGCUCACCAAGACUAUGACGCAUAACUGGUUUGAGAGGAUGAUCAGUCACACUGGAACUGAGACACGGUCCAGACUCCUACGGGAGGCAGCAGUGGGGAAUAUUGCACAAUGGACGAAAGUCUGAUGCAGCAACGCCGCGUGGAGGAUGACACAUUUCGGUGCGUAAACUCCUUUUAUAUAGGAAGAUAAUGACGGUACUAUAUGAAUAAGCGCCGGCUAACUCCGUGCCAGCAGCCGCGGUAAUACGGAGGGCGCAAGCGUUACUCGGAAUCACUGGGCGUAAAGAGCGUGUAGGCGGAUAGAUAAGUCAGGAGUGAAAUCCUAUGGCUCAACCAUAGAACUGCUCUUGAAACUGUCUAUCUAGAAUAUGGGAGAGGUAGAUGGAAUUUCUGGUGUAGGGGUAAAAUCCGUAGAGAUCAGAAGGAAUACCGAUUGCGAAGGCGAUCUACUGGAACAUUAUUGACGCUGAGACGCGAAAGCGUGGGGAGCAAACAGGACUAGAUACCCUGGUAGUCCACGCCCUAAACGAUGUACACUAGUUGUUGUGAGGCUCGACCUUGCAGUAAUGCAGUUAACACAUUAAGUGUACCGCCUGGGGAGUACGGUCGCAAGAUUAAAACUCAAAGGAAUUGACGG
This 898-nucleotide ribosomal RNA is filed under the name uncultured marine bacterium. Its description in RNAcentral is "bacterial SSU rRNA". It matches the Rfam family "Bacterial small subunit ribosomal RNA", at positions 8 to 916 of the family's 1533-position model. The record is from RNAcentral.